Long non-coding RNA from Alligator mississippiensis (American alligator), 372 nucleotides. RefSeq lists it as uncharacterized. Lineage: Eukaryota; Metazoa; Chordata; Crocodylia; Alligatoridae. The transcript is spliced from 3 exons. The record is from RefSeq and is a predicted model, not a curated record.
GGCAGUUUGGCUGCUGGAGGUGAGGCAGCAACAUUGUCUAGCUGGAGGGCUGCUGAGAUCAUCUGGAGGAAUGGAAAAUGCUUGAAUGGAAAAGGUUUAUCCCUUUGAAUGAAUAUCUACUGGUCAGCAGUGCAAGUGGACAUGACCAAGGAAACUACACCUGCAAAACAUCAUAUACUUACAAGGGGGAAAAAGCACAACAUUUCACAAGACAUCAGCCUGUUUGUUACAGGACAAUGUAUUUAGAGAAGCCAUGCUCAAUGCCCUUUCAUAGAGAAGGUAAGUUACAAGAUGCAUUUACAGGCAGAGAGGAUAAUGAAAGGACCAUUACAGCCACCAUGGGGAAUGAAAACUAAGUUGUACCACAUAUGA